UCAGCGAUGUCCGAGAGGUUAAGGAGAUUGACUCAAAAUCAAUUGGGCUCUACCCGCGUAGGUUCGAAUCCUGCUCGCUGCG
Angiostrongylus costaricensis is the source of this 82-nucleotide non-coding RNA. Lineage: Eukaryota; Metazoa; Nematoda; Chromadorea; Rhabditida; Metastrongylidae. The record is from Rfam.